UACGUAGGUGGCAAGCGUUGUCCGGAUUUAUUGGGUUUAAAGGGUGCGUAGGCGGCCUUGUAAGUCAGUGCUGAAAUAUCCCGCCUUAACCAGGAGGGUGGCAUUGAUACUGCAGGGCUUGAGUAAAGUUGAGGUUGGCGGAAUUGACGGUGUAGCGGUGAAAUGCUUAGAUAUCGUCAAGAACACCGAUAGUGAAGACAGCUAACUAAGCUUUAACUGACGCUGAGGCACGAAAGUGUGGGGAUCAAACAGG
Molecule: ribosomal RNA, 253 nt
Filed under: uncultured bacterium
Lineage: Bacteria
Description: partial 16S ribosomal RNA
Rfam family: Bacterial small subunit ribosomal RNA
Source: RNAcentral